Molecule: ribosomal RNA, 497 nt
Filed under: uncultured bacterium
Lineage: Bacteria
Description: partial 16S ribosomal RNA
Rfam family: Bacterial small subunit ribosomal RNA
Source: RNAcentral
GAUGAACGCUGGCGGCGUGCCUAAUACAUGCAAGUCGAGCGAACAGACGAGGAGCUUGCUCCUCUGACGUUAGCGGCGGACGGGUGAGUAACACGUGGAUAACCUACCUAUAAGACUGGGAUAACUUCGGGAAACCGGAGCUAAUACCGGAUAACAUGUUGAACCGCAUGGUUCAACAGUGAAAGACGGUCCUGCUGUCACUUAUAGAUGGAUCCGCGCCGCAUUAGCUAGUUGGUAAGGUAACGGCUUACCAAGGCAACGAUGCGUAACCGACCUGAGAGGGUGAUCGGCCACACUGGAACUGAGACACGGUCCAGACUCCUACGGGAGGCAGCAGUAGGGAAUCUUCCGCAAUGGGCGAAAGCCUGACGGAGCAACGCCGCGUGAGUGAAGAAGGUCUUCGGAUCGUAAAACUCUGUUAUUAGGGAAGAACAAAUGUGUAAGUAACUAUGCACGUCUUGACGGUACCUAAUCAGAAAGCCACGGCUAACUACGUG